RNAcentral lists this non-coding RNA (30 nucleotides) under Homo sapiens (human). The record is from RNAcentral. Lineage: Eukaryota; Metazoa; Chordata; Mammalia; Primates; Hominidae.
UGGUAACAAAGAACGAGAUGGUUGGCCGGC